UAUUUUAUAGUUUAUUUAGAAUGUUAAAUUGCAAGUUUAAGGGUAUGUAAAAAUUAAAAUUU
Molecule: transfer RNA, 62 nt
Filed under: Psococerastis albimaculata
Lineage: Eukaryota; Metazoa; Arthropoda; Insecta; Psocodea; Psocidae
Description: tRNA-Cys
Source: RNAcentral